AUACGGAGGGUGCAAGCGUUGUUCGGAAUCACUGGGCGUAAAGGGCGCGCAGGCGGUUUGGUAAGUCAGAUGUGAAAGCCCACGGCUCAACCGUGGAAGUGCAUUUGAAACUGCCAGACUGGAGUACCAGAGGGGAAAGUGGAAUUCCCGGUGUAGAGGUGAAAUUCGUAGAUAUCGGGAGGAAUACCGGUGGCGAAGGCGACUUUCUGGCUGGAUACUGACGCUGAGGCGCGAAAGCGUGGGGAGCAAACAGGAUUAGAUACCCUAGUAGUCC
Molecule: ribosomal RNA, 274 nt
Filed under: uncultured bacterium
Lineage: Bacteria
Description: partial 16S ribosomal RNA
Rfam family: Bacterial small subunit ribosomal RNA
Source: RNAcentral